UUAUUAUUUCUCUUUUAUUGUGUUUAUUGUCUAUGGCAAACCAUUUUAUAUAAAUUCUUUCUAAGACAGUUUUCUACCCACCAGUAAGUUUUUUCUUUUAUGCCUUUUUCUAUAUAUUUUACAGAAUCUGUGCUAUGGCUAUCAUAACUUCAUAUUCAUGUAGGUUAGAACAAAGUGAACAUGUAAUAUUUUAACAUGAAAGAAACAAAAACAGAACAGUUUUUGUAAGUACACCUUUCAAAUACUGCUGUAUAUGUAUGUAUAUUUUUGCCAUCUUAGGUUUGCUUUCAGUGUUAAUUUAAAUGACUAUAGUUUAUGUACCUGUAGGGCAUUUCUCAAAGCCUUUUUGUGUUUAGUUACCAGUAUUUCUGGUAAGAAUAUGGAGCCUUAACAAGAUAUAUAUUUAUGCAAAUAAAUGAAUAUAUGUAAAAAUGCAUGAUAUAUAAUACUGAGGAUAUCCUACAUUCAUCAAACCUUGCUAAUCUGCUUUCUUCUUUGACAGACCUCUGGGCUCACCUUUUUAACUAAUCAGCAGUGACAAUUUUUAGAACUGUGAUUUUGACCAUGUUAACUAAGUUUAAAACAGACUUUUCUAUAGGACAAACUAAGUGGUAAUAUUAUUGUUAAAUAGACCUAGAAAAAUUUAGGCAACAAUAGAAGUUAAAUAAGUAAUAAAAUGUAAACAAUUAUAUUUUGAAAAUUGUCUGUACUUUUUUUUAGAUCAUUAAGUUAAUCUCAAUAUUUUCUGGUGAAUAAUGAAUGUACACAAAUAGUUUGAAGAACUGAUUUUAUCAUUAGCUUAUGUGCAUUUCUGUUUUUCCAAUGUGCAAUGUGAACAUUUAACAAUUUUUUUCACAAAAGCUUGUCAGAAGUUUGAUUUUGGGUCAGCUAGUGUGUUCUAUUAUUCUGUGGUAUAAAUUUCUUUGUGUUUCCGGUAUUUUAAAUUUUUUUAAUUUAUAAAAAUUAUGAAUAAUCCAACAACAAAUGAUAAAGAACAGAUCUAUUUCUAAGGUACAGCCAAAUAUUAAAUUUCUUUGGGUGCAAGUGACAGUUUGAAAGAAAUUCUAAGUUUUACACUGAAGAGUACAUGACUUAAUCUGACAGAUAAACCUUGAGGUUACUUGCCAAUUCUUCAGUGUACAAAUCUGAAAGCUUAACAUAGAUAAAUGAUCUGAGUAUUUUUUCCCCACAAAUUAUUGUGUGGGGAAAAUAGAAUGAGGCAUGAACACAGUAAAUAAAGAGAAUGUGAAUAAUGGCAAGGAGAGAAACACUUCAAAUAUAUUGAUUUAUCUCAACUUCAAGUUCUAAACUAACCAUAUGUUGUGUCACUUUUUUGAUAUUGUCUGUCAUAUCAUUCUUUUUUCAGCAAUAGCCCUCUUAAUUCUAUGUAUGACUAAUUAGUCCCAUAACAGUGCUAGUAUGAUCUCGCAUACAGACUAUUGAAUGUUUCAGUAGAAAGUACAGGUUAUUUAUUGUUUUUAAAUUGGUACAGCCCCCUUUUUUUUUUAUAAGAAAAUGUAUAUGGCUAUUAUAUCUUUUUAUGCCAUUUACCCAUGCUUUUAGUUUUUAGCCAGUAUUUUGUGUGAUUCAUAUGAGGCUUAAUCAACAAUUGAUUGUUACUAUUCUUAAGAAAGGUUGUUACCUUCUGCUUAUGUGUGGACCCAACCUCUUCUUAAUCUUGAUGACAGCUUUUUGUACAUAUAAAGUAACCCAUGACCAUGAUGUACAAAGGAGGAGAAUAUUGUUAUUCAUAGAACUAAUAAGCAACCCUUACCUUUUUGGAUCAAUCCAGAGAUGGUGAUGGAUAAUGAGAGAGAGAGAUUUGUAUAUGUGAACAAUGGCCAAAGUUUUUUGUGUUCUAGUAUUUCACCCAUGUUGGGAUUUUCAAUUGACAAGCUUCACAAGGGAGGAACCAGAUGGAGCUAGAAGAGGCAGAGCUUGUUAGCACUGUAAGAGUGGACUGUCAGUUUUUAGUACCUGGUGAAACCUAAAUUCUGAUGAAGUUUGCAGCUGUUAAAACUGUUCUAUUAUCUGCAAGUCAUUAGGAGCUUCUCGACCACAAAUUCUUUGUUAGAGGUGGUGUUUCUGAUGUUUGCUGGUUACAGCUAGAUGGAAUUUGCUCCCUUGUGAAACAUUAUGGGACAAAACUUUACCAAGUCAGUGAAGCACUGCGGUUGUUGAGACAAAGUGAUUAGUGAGAAAGUCCUCAUGAAGGAAAAGUCUGAAUGGAUUUCCCAUACUACAUUUCAAGCUGGGUAAUCUGACCCUCUUCAUUUAAUUUAAUUUAUUUGAACAAUCUUUUUAAAAUUAUAAACAAUUUCAAAUUUUACUUGCAAGUAUAACAUAUCAUAGAAGUUCUGAGAAAACUACAGUUUUAUUUGUUUUUAGGCUGAUUUCACUGUAAUAAUGAAAUGAUAAAUAAGAUAUAUCUUUUGUUACCAAAUGUAAUAUGUAUAUCAGAAGUAUCUGGUACUAUACACAUGUUAACCUACCACUAGUAUAAUUAAAAGUAUAACCAUUUUUAAAAAAUUUUAAAAACCAGGAAUGCUCAUAUCCAAGAAAGAAAUUAUCUUCUUUGUAUAUGUAUAUGUUUCUUUUUUGGGGGUGAGUUAUUUUAUUUAAACCACUUCAGCCAAAUUUUACCAGUUUUCUGUAGAAUCAUAUUCAUUAAGUAAUGGAUGUUCCAAGUUUUUUAUGGUUCAAUUUCUGAAACCAUUUCAUUAUCAUGCACCUUUCUCAGCUUUUGCAGUUAUAUGUAUUACCAAAUUUUCAUUUCAAGCUCUUUCAUAGCAUUUAAGAUAUUACUAUCAAAGAAAAAAAUAUUGGGUAUUUAUAUGGAUGGCUGAUGUUAGUUUUGCUUUAAAACCUUUUAAUAUUCCCCAUGAUAUGUCAUUUCCUUCUUGUUUAAAAUUUUUAAUACUUAUCUUUGAAAUUUCAUUAUUUUUUAAAGAAACUUUUAGGGUAGUUAACAUUUUAAAUAGGAUGUUCUGUUGAUUUACAAAUUAUGGAAACUUUGUACAUAAUCAUCUUUUAUU
RNAcentral lists this long non-coding RNA (3035 nucleotides) under Limulus polyphemus (Atlantic horseshoe crab). Its description in RNAcentral is "uncharacterized LOC111087955, transcript variant X1". Lineage: Eukaryota; Metazoa; Arthropoda; Merostomata; Xiphosura; Limulidae. The record is from RNAcentral.